Molecule: ribosomal RNA, 253 nt
Filed under: uncultured bacterium
Lineage: Bacteria
Description: partial 16S ribosomal RNA
Rfam family: Bacterial small subunit ribosomal RNA
Source: RNAcentral
UACGUAGGGCGCAAGCGUUGUCCGGAAUUAUUGGGCGUAAAGAGCUCGUAGGCGGCUUGUCACGUCGGUUGUGAAAGCCCGGGGCUUAACCCCGGGUCUGCAGUCGAUACGGGCAGGCUAGAGUGUGGUAGGGGAGAACGGAAUUCCUGGUGUAGCGGUGAAAUGCGCAGAUAUCAGGAGGAACACCGGUGGCGAAGGCGGUUCUCUGGGCAUGUCCUGACGCUGAGGAGCGAAAGUGUGGGGAGCGAACAGG